GCGAGUGUAGUGUAGUGGUUAUCACCCGACGUUGCCAACGUCGGAACCCGGGUUCAAAUCCCGGC
Molecule: transfer RNA, 65 nt
Filed under: Candidatus Poseidoniales archaeon
Lineage: Archaea; Methanobacteriati; Thermoplasmatota; Candidatus Poseidoniia; Candidatus Poseidoniales
Description: Marine Group II euryarchaeote (marine metagenome) tRNA-Gly
Rfam family: tRNA
About the family: Transfer RNA (tRNA) molecules are approximately 80 nucleotides in length. Their secondary structure includes four short double-helical elements and three loops (D, anti-codon, and T loops).
Source: RNAcentral